This 464-nucleotide ribosomal RNA is filed under the name uncultured bacterium. RNAcentral's name for it is "partial 16S ribosomal RNA". It matches the Rfam family "Bacterial small subunit ribosomal RNA", at positions 29 to 507 of the family's 1533-position model. The record is from RNAcentral.
AUGAACGCUGGCGGCGUGCUUAACACAUGCAAGUCGAACGGAAAGGCUCCUGCUUGCAGGGGUACUCGAGUGGCGAACGGGUGAGUAACACGUGGGUGAUCUGCCCUGCACUUCGGGAUAAGCCUGGGAAACUGGGUCUAAUACCGGAUAGGACGAUGGUUUGGAUGCCAUUGUUGAAAGUUUUUCGGUGUGGGAUGAGCUCGCGGCCUAUCAGCUUGUUGGUGGGGUAAUGGCCUACCAAGGCGUCGACGGGUAGCCGGCCUGAGAGGGUGUACGGCCACAUUGGGACUGAGAUACGGCCCAGACUCCUACGGGAGGCAGCAGUGGGGAAUAUUGCACAAUGGGGGCAAGCCUGAUGCAGCGACGCCGCGUGGGGGAUGAAGGCCUUCGGGUUGUAAACUGCUUUCGCUAGGGACGAAGCGCAAGUGACGGUACCUGGAGAAGAAGCACCGGCUAACUACGUG